UAUACCGCCUGGGGAGUACGGUCGCAAGAUUAAAACUCAAAGGAAUAGACGGGGACCCGCACAAGCGGUGGAGCAUGUGGUUUAAUUCGAAGAUACGCGAAGAACCUUACCUGGGCUUGAUAUCCAACUAAUCUCUUAGAGAUAAGAGAGUGCUAGCUUGCUAGAACGUUGAGACAGGUGCUGCACGGCUGUCGUCAGCUCGUGUCGUGAGAUGUUGGGUUAAGUCCCGCACGAGCGCAACCCACGU
Molecule: ribosomal RNA, 247 nt
Filed under: Campylobacter fetus subsp. testudinum
Lineage: Bacteria; Pseudomonadati; Campylobacterota; Epsilonproteobacteria; Campylobacterales; Campylobacteraceae
Description: partial 16S ribosomal RNA
Rfam family: Bacterial small subunit ribosomal RNA
Source: RNAcentral